This 167-nucleotide unclassified non-coding RNA is filed under the name soil metagenome. RNAcentral describes it as "partial contains 5.8S ribosomal RNA, internal transcribed spacer 2, and large subunit ribosomal RNA". The record is from RNAcentral.
AACUGAUACUACCUGCGGGAACCUGCGGAGGGAUCAUUAGUGAACGCCCUCACGGGCUUAUAACUAUUCCAAACCUCUGUGAACCGUGCCCUUCGGGGCUAUUUUACAAACAUGGUGUAAUGAACGUCAUAUAUCAUAACAAAACAAAACUUUCAGCAUGGAUCUCU